Molecule: long non-coding RNA, 363 nt
Filed under: Struthio camelus australis
Lineage: Eukaryota; Metazoa; Chordata; Aves; Struthioniformes; Struthionidae
Description: lncRNA (ENSSCUG00000012523.1)
Source: RNAcentral
GUCCUAUCUUAGACCCCCCCAAAAGAAAAGAGUAUAAAAACAUAUUUACUUUCCAGUUGGCAACUUGGAUCAACUCCAGGCUUCUUUCUGCUAAGACUCUUUUUCUCUCAGCACAAAGUCCCUUUAAUGGAGUCUCAGAGUGGCCGGAUAUGCCCUACAUCAACUUCCUGAAUGGGACUCUCCAGCAGAGAGAAUGAGACCUCUGCUAGCUCUGACCAUUUAUAUUGCCGUCAUGGAAGCACCAAAACAUCCCGAGAAGACUUCAUAAGGAAAGCUUAUUCUGAGCAACCCUGUCUCUUCAUCUUCUUACCUACUAUAUUGAGGUUCUUGGCUUGGGACAUUAUGAAAUGCAGGGAAGCAAAG